Molecule: ribosomal RNA, 253 nt
Filed under: uncultured bacterium
Lineage: Bacteria
Description: partial 16S ribosomal RNA
Rfam family: Bacterial small subunit ribosomal RNA
Source: RNAcentral
UACGUAGGGUGCAAGCGUUAAUCGGAAUUACUGGGCGUAAAGCGUGCGCAGGCGGUUUUGUAAGUCUGUCGUGAAAUCCCCGGGCUCAACCUGGGAAUUGCGAUGGAGACUGCAAGGCUUGAAUCUGGCAGAGGGGGGUAGAAUUCCACGUGUAGCAGUGAAAUGCGUAGAGAUGUGGAGGAACACCGAUGGCGAAGGCAGCCCCCUGGGAUAACACUGACGCUCAUGCACGAAAGCGUGGGGAGCAAACAGG